This 507-nucleotide ribosomal RNA is filed under the name uncultured bacterium. RNAcentral's name for it is "bacterial SSU rRNA". It matches the Rfam family "Bacterial small subunit ribosomal RNA", at positions 28 to 492 of the family's 1533-position model. The record is from RNAcentral.
GACGAACGCUGGCGGCGUGCCUAAUACAUGCAAGUCGAACGCACUCUCGUUUAGAUUGAAGGAGCUUGCUCCUGAUUGAUAAACAUUUGAGUGAGUGGCGGACGGGUGAGUAACACGUGGGUAACCUGCCCUAAAGUGGGGGAUAACAUUUGGAAACAGAUGCUAAUACCGCAUAAAACCUAAACACCGCAUGGUGUAGGGUUGAAAGAUGGUUUCGGCUAUCACUUUAGGAUGGACCCGCGGUGCAUUAGUUAGUUGGUGAGGUAAAGGCUCACCAAGACCGUGAUGCAUAGCCGACCUGAGAGGGUAAUCGGCCACACUGGGACUGAGACACGGCCCAGACUCCUACGGGAGGCAGCAGUAGGGAAUCUUCCACAAUGGACGAAAGUCUGAUGGAGCAACGCCGCGUGAGUGAAGAAGGUUUUCGGAUCGUAAAACUCUAGUUGUUGGAGAAGAAUGUAUCUGAUAGUAACUGAUCAGGUAGUGACGGUAUCCAACCAGAAAGCC